UACGUAGGGUGCGAGCGUUGUCCGGAAUUAUUGGGCGUAAAGGGCUCGUAGGCGGUUUGUCGCGUCGGGAGUGAAAACACCGGGCUUAACUCGGUGCUUGCUUUCGAUACGGGCAGACUAGAGGCAUGCAGGGGAGAACGGAAUUCCUGGUGUAGCGGUGAAAUGCGCAGAUAUCAGGAGGAACACCCGGUGGCGAAGGCGGCUUCU
RNAcentral lists this ribosomal RNA (207 nucleotides) under uncultured bacterium. RNAcentral describes it as "partial 16S ribosomal RNA". It matches the Rfam family "Bacterial small subunit ribosomal RNA", at positions 524 to 730 of the family's 1533-position model. The record is from RNAcentral.